Molecule: long non-coding RNA, 201 nt
Filed under: Elaeis guineensis (African oil palm)
Lineage: Eukaryota; Viridiplantae; Streptophyta; Magnoliopsida; Arecales; Arecaceae
Description: long non-coding RNA (EGUI_LNC071335)
Source: RNAcentral
GUAUUUGUGCCAUAUAAAAAGGGUGCUAGCUAGCGUUCGUUGAGUUCUGUAUCUAAAUAAUAUUAAAUUUUUUUAUAAAAAUAAUAUUUUUUUAAAUUUAUUUACAGAGAUAAUAUAAAACUAUAAAAUAUUAUUUGGAAUAGUAUUUAUUGGAUAGAAAAUAUCAUUUAAAAUGAUAUUUUUUCACUGCACAUCCCCACC